GAAACGGCAUUAAGGAUCCACAAGCAGCAGGAAAGCAGAUGGAUGAUAAGACCAAGCAAAACAACGAUGGUCAUCCCUCAGAAAGCACUUCCCCAUCAAACACUGCCCUGAUGGAGGUGGGUGGAGAUGUUACAGAUGCUUCAGCUUCAAACCAGGUGUUAUCUAAAAACAAUGCUGGAGGAGAUUUGCCACCAGAGACCCAAACAGAAAACCCCUCAGUAAGCUUGGUGGAAGCUGAUGGGGCUGGUCAGCCCAUGCCAGGCACUGGGAUGGAGCAGGCAGACAGCUGGGCAAGCCUCCAGCCAAGCGCAAAGAGCGGCUCCAUUGCUUUCUCUACUGCUAACAUGGGCACAGGGAUAAUGUUUGUGAGCAGUAGUUCGGCCACUACUCUCAGAGACCGACUCAGAUGGACCAGCGGGGCCAUCUCAGAAGACCAGGACAAGGAAUGCCCAGCUGAUGGCUUGGAGAGCUACGGGCUGGCGCAGGAGCCAGAAACCCAGCUGAGCAAGAGCGGGGUUGACCCUGGCAGCACUCAAUCUGCUCUCUGUGAGGCUCAUCAAGCAGAGUCAAAAGAGAUGGCGAAGGAAAAUGAAGACCCUGGUGCAGACUCGCUGUUGGACACCUCUCAAGAGAAGUCCUUCUCGGAGGAGCCAGCCACUGACUCCUCUUGUUCAGCAACAGUUCCCCCAGAGCAAACUCACACCGACAGAGAAAAGCAGAGGUCAUCUGGGAAAAGGAGGAAGAAGAAGAGGCACAGCAAAAGCUACUCAGAGGUUGAGACUGAUACUGGAGAUAAUAAAACAAAAAAAGAUUGUGUGGUACAAUGAGGUGUCACAGCAAGGCAGAAGAAAUAACAGAGACCCAGCGAACCACUCACGUGUCCUCAGAGCGCUGCCAGCUUCUCAGAAGCCAGGUUCUGCAUCGCCAAAACACCACCGUGGUCACCUCUGCCCAACAGGACUCACUGCUUCUCUUCAUGCAGCCUUUCGUUCCCUCUCCAAGACCCAGAGAGCCUUCCUGGUGACUUUGGACCCCUUAGCUUGUGCCUCAUGCUGGGCGCUCACAGGGCUGGGGGCCGGUUCUGUGCAUGGUGGCGUGAAAGGGUCAGACCUCUCAUCUGCUGUCCUGGAAACUAAAUCUUUCAACCUGCUCUUAGGCCAAACUCCACUUGGAACGACAGCUGAGUGUGGCCCAAGAAAGGACCUCAGUGUUUAGCCUUCAGAGAAAUAUCAAAAAUAGCAGUGCCUCAACUACAGUAAGGGUAUAAAUUAAGCAGUGUCUGUACCAUCACAGGUAGAAGCAUGUUAACUCCCCCUUCUCAUCGCCUACUGACGAUUUAUCUGGGACCAGAUCCAAGACCUAAGUAUUGGUCUUGGAUCAGACAAAGUAUUUUUACUCUCAACCAUUUAAAGCCAGGGAAAUUGGUUACAGGGAAAAAAAAGUGGAAAAAAAAAAAAAAAGUAUGUAUUUUAGUAAGCAUAUGGCCAUAUAAACAGUGUCUGGUUCUACAUGAUGCUUAUGUGCAAUUAAGCUGAAGCACAUCGGUAGUCUUGCAGUCUACUCACACAGAUGCAUCCAUCAACUUUCAGAGAUCCAGGGCCUCAGUUCCUCUUAUUAAAGCAACAGAGGUUUUCCAGAGUGCUUUAUCAGACACAUUUCAGCUCAUCCUUUAGUAAAUCUCUGGGUUUGAAUUCUGUUGUCAGCUGCUUGCACUCAAUAUUCUUUAUGUCCAAGUUGUAGAAUGUGUAGAUUCAUGUUACUUUUGCUUUAAAACUGGGAAUGUGCAGUAUUGUGUUUUCAAAAUUCAGAGAUUUAUUUCUUAAGUUUUGUAAUAACAUUGUAUCAUAGUUUUGUACAUAGCUGUCAAUUUAAAAUGAUCUAUGUUUGUUGAAUCUAUAGUGUGAUACUGUGCUGAAACAUGAAUCAAGUGGAAGAGCUGGGUACAUUUAAGAACUAUGCCUUUAUAUGGUAACUCACUGUGGCUAGACUAAUGUUCAGGCUAAAGCUUAUUUUGCCUUGCAUAACAGGACUUGUCCUUGUAAUAUUGAAAACUUUGCUGGACUAAGUUGGAAGUUAAAUCAAGAAUUAAAUCACUGGUUUAUUUUAACCAAUGCAUUGCCAUUAACAUAUUGAGAAUCAGUUAAAAGCAGAGAUGCGUUGAGAGCAGACACAUGGGCAGCUUCAGUUCAGGAGACCCCACAGAGUGGCACAGCCCUUUGGCAACUGAAAUCCCAUUCCUGGCUGGAAGAAGCAGGCAGAGCCCCACCGUUUCCUGGAGAAUCACAUAACCCACCCCAGGUUUGACUUGCAGGACUGGCUCUAUCACAUUUACAGGUUUUCCCAUUUCUUUUUUCCUCUUUUUGUGUCUCAGAGCACGUCACCCAAGCAUCAUCCUUUUGCUCUUUAACCUGGCUUCUCUGCUCUCAGAUCAGACCCCAGGCUUCAAAAUCUGAGUAUUAAACACAUUUUCCCAGCAGCUUCGCAACCUCUGUGUUUCCAGCAAGAGCCUGCAGCCCAGGCUAGCAGUGAGCAGCCAACCUCCUCCUCCCCACCCCACUGUUCUGUCAAUAAGAACAUCAUUUGGCGAUUCAAGACUAGGGAACAAACAGGCUUUCUGGGUGUUACCUAGGGAACCUUACCUGCUAAUGCUUUGCAGGCUGCUCUCUUUGGCAGGUGUCCACUUUUCUGUCUGCGUCUUUCAGCUAUCCCCCAUUUCUGCCUAGAGAGAGCAGCUCUUUUCACACAGCCAGAAAUUUUAUUACUGUGUUCUUACCUUGGCCAUCAAAGAGAGGGUGCUUGGCAUUAGCUUUCCACUGCCCUCAAGAGUUUAUAAAAAAAAUGGGUUAUUUUGAGCCACUGGCGGUUAUUUGUUCCAUAGUCAUCUGUGAAAACUAUGUUAAAUUAUCUCUUCAAUCAUAUCCCAAUAUGCGAGCUGAGGCACAGCAUUUGUACUUUACUACUCCAGAGCAGCUCUGCUUCCAUUACAGCGACAAAGAAGAACAGAGGGACAGAACCAAAGCAGGUCAAACAAAGAUGUUCAACUGGGAUGUGCAGGUUUGCUCCAUUUUUAUCUUAAAAUAAAGCUCACGAUCCUGAAGAUUUUUCAUGUUUGCAAGGCUAAAUUAAUUGCUGGUAAAAAGAAUGUUACUUGCAGCUACCUGAACAGGUCUGUGGUCAUUUAAGUCGAUAAUGAGUUUGGACCUCAAAAAAGAAUUUUUCUGGUACAUUACAGCAACUGCACAUGGAGUCCAGUAUGUAAACUAGGCUGUGAAUGCCACAAGUUUCUAGCUGCCAAAUAACUGCAUAUUCCUUAACUAAGCAUUGACUAUAUGAUAAAAUGAAGUUAUGAAAGAGAUCAGCAUAAGUCUUUUCCAAGUAUUUCACAUCAGAAUUCAGAUAUGUUUAAUGAGAUGGAUUUUUAGGGUUAGUUUUCUGGGGGUUUUGUUUUUAUUUUGUGUUUUGCUGGGGGGUUUAGUGGGGUUUUUUUGUUUAAUUUCAAUACUGAAAAUUGGUCAAAGUUUAGAAUAAAAUAAGUACUUGAUAAAUUUCCUUUCUCUUGUGGGAAUGGGGAAGACCUAUAACUCACCAGAAUUUGUCCAUCAAAGUCCUAUAUUUUCCACAUAGUUUAUAAGGCACCUAAGCAUAUAAUUGUUGUAUAUGCUUAGCAAUAAUUACCCAUUGUUUUCUCUCAAAGAAACAGAGAUGUAUAAAUGGAGCUAUACCUAGUACAUGAAAACUACCAGUGUUGCACUGUACUUAAAGCACAGCUAAAAUUUGUGUCCAAAGGUAUGCCAAUAUCUUUUAGUUUGAACGUAUUGUUUGGUCCUCUCCUACAUUCGGUAGGGAAUGUAUUUCUCAGAGCUAAGAAAUACCUUCUGUUCUGCUUAGAAGGAAAGAGGAUAAAUUAAAAUAAAAAUGCAUGAGCCCAUU
This 3930-nucleotide long non-coding RNA is filed under the name Strigops habroptila (Kakapo). RNAcentral's name for it is "lncRNA (ENSSHBG00005011478.1)". The record is from RNAcentral. Lineage: Eukaryota; Metazoa; Chordata; Aves; Psittaciformes; Psittacidae.